ACGCUAGCGGGAGGCCUAACACAUGCAAGCCGAGCGGUAGAGAUUCUUCGGGAUCUUGAGAGCGGCGUACGGGUGCGGAACACGUGUGCAACCUGCCUUUAUCAGGGAGAUAGCCUUUCGAAAGGAAGAUUAAUAUCCCAUAAUAUUUUGAGUGGCAUCACUUAAAAUUGAAAGCUCCGGCGGAUAGAGAUGGGCACGCGCAAGAUUAGAUAGUUGGCGGGGUAACGGCCCACCAAGUCAAUGAUCUUUAGGGGGCCUGAGAGGGUGAUCCCCCACACUGGUACUGAGACACGGACCAGACUCCUACGGGAGGCAGCAGUGAGGAAUAUUGGACAAUGGGUGAGAGCCUGAUCCAGCCAUCCCGCGUGAAGGACGACGGCCCUAUGGGUUGUAAACUUCUUUUGUAUAGGGAUAAACCUACCCUCGUGAGGGUAGCUGAAGGUACUAUACGAAUAAGCACCGGCUAACUCCGUGCCAGCAGCCGCGGUAAUACGGAGGGUGCAAGCGUUAUCCGGAUUUAUUGGGUUUAAAGGGUCCGUAGGCGGACUCGUAAGUCAGUGGUGAAAUCUCAUAGCUUAACUAUGAAACUGCCAUUGAUACUGCGGGUCUUGAGUAAGGUAGAGGUAGCUGGAAUAAGUAGUGUAGCGGUGAAAUGCAUAGAUAUUACUUAGAACACCAAUUGCGAAGGCAGGUUACCAUGUCUUAACUGACGCUGAUGGACGAAAGCGUGGGGAGCAAAC
RNAcentral lists this ribosomal RNA (740 nucleotides) under uncultured bacterium. RNAcentral's name for it is "bacterial SSU rRNA". It matches the Rfam family "Bacterial small subunit ribosomal RNA", at positions 33 to 773 of the family's 1533-position model. The record is from RNAcentral.